Molecule: unclassified non-coding RNA, 880 nt
Filed under: Bombyx mandarina (wild silkworm)
Lineage: Eukaryota; Metazoa; Arthropoda; Insecta; Lepidoptera; Bombycidae
Description: uncharacterized LOC114244900, transcript variant X1
Source: RNAcentral
GUACACUUAUUACACUUGUUUAUGUUGUAUAUUUAUUUUAAGACCCUAGUCAGUGACUCAGUGUUGAGUUUAUAAAGUCCGCAAGUAAGACGUGCUAUCUACCAAUUGGAUAAUAUCUAAUGCCAAUUAAUUAACUGGAAAUCAUGGGAGAUAUUGUAGAAUUGAAUUCCACUGAAGGCCAGGUUCUUUACAGAGCCAACUCUAGUGCCAUAAGAAUUAGAGUUAGCUUUCCAUUAUCAGCAGAACCACAUAUAACCUUUUAUUCAAAAUUUCCACCCCAUCAGGAACUAUAUCAGCUGUAUAUUGGGGAUGUAUUUAAACUUGUAGACAUAUUAGAGGGUAAUGUUGUUGAUUAUUACAACAAAGACCCACCAACUUCUUUUAUCGAGUUCAAAGAUUUUUGGAUAUCAUGGCACAGUGGAAAAUUUCAAUAUGGUCUGUGUCCUAACAUUGAACCCAUGCGAUGUAUAAAACUUCAAAAUGCAAAAAAAAUUGGUUUUGUAAGUUUUCAUAUCCCUACAAUAAUAGAUGAAGCUGAGGUUAGAUGGGUGAUUGAAAGGAUCAUCAAAUAUGAUCAGUCUUCCAAUUUCUUCAAGAAGAAUAUGAAAUUGAAUAAUAGUGAUCAUCUAUCAGUUUUGAGUAUUUUGGCUUAUGUACUAAAAUACAAAUAAUAGAGGUCUGUGAACUCACUGUAACUUGAUUAUUGAAAUAUGAAAAGGAAUUGCUAUUAAAGUCCUCCAAAUCUACUUAACUCAUGGAAAAAUUAUGACCCCCAAUAUUCCUAAAUAGCUUACAUUGCAAAAGUGAUAAGGAAAUUGAGGGUGGUGAACUACGUUGGGUAAAAAUGACAAAUAACAGCUCAUUACCUAUGGAUGCAAUA